ACUCCUACGGGAGGCAGCAGUGGGGAAUAUUGCACAAUGGGCGCAAGCCUGAUGCAGCCAUGCCGCGUGUAUGAAGAAGGCCUUCGGGUUGUAAAGUACUUUCAGUGGGGAGGAAGGCGAUGAGGUUAAUAACCUCGUCGAUUGACGUUACCCGCAGAAGAAGCACCGGCUAACUCCGUGCCAGCAGCCGCGGUAAUACGGAGGGUGCA
Molecule: ribosomal RNA, 209 nt
Filed under: uncultured bacterium
Lineage: Bacteria
Description: partial 16S ribosomal RNA
Rfam family: Bacterial small subunit ribosomal RNA
Source: RNAcentral